RNAcentral lists this ribosomal RNA (252 nucleotides) under uncultured bacterium. Its description in RNAcentral is "partial 16S ribosomal RNA". It matches the Rfam family "Bacterial small subunit ribosomal RNA", at positions 525 to 776 of the family's 1533-position model. The record is from RNAcentral.
ACGGAGGGUGCAAGCGUUAUCCGGAAUCACUGGGUUUAAAGGGUGCGUAGGCGGCUUGAUAAGUCAGGGGUGAAAGCCCACAGCUUAACUGUGGAAUUGCCUUUGAUACUGUCAGGCUUGAAUUAGGUUGAGGUUGGCGGAAUGUGACAUGUAGCGGUGAAAUGCAUAGAUAUGUCAUAGAACACCAAUUGCGAAGGCAGCUGGCUAGACCUUAAUUGACGCUGAGGCACGAAAGCGUGGGGAGCGAACAGG